UACAGAGGGGGCAAGCGUUGUCCGGAAUUAUUGGGCGUAAAGAGCUCGUAGGCGGUUUGUUGCGUCGGCUGUGAAAUCCCGAGGCUCAACCUCGGGUCUGCAGUCGAUACGAGCAAACUAGAGUGUUGCAGGGGAGACUGGAAUUCCUGGUGUAGCGGUGAAAUGCGCAGAUAUCAGGAGGAACACCGGUGGCGAAGGCGGGUCUCUGGGCAACAACUGACGCUGAGGAGCGAAAGCGUGGGGAGCGAACAGG
RNAcentral lists this ribosomal RNA (253 nucleotides) under uncultured bacterium. RNAcentral's name for it is "partial 16S ribosomal RNA". It matches the Rfam family "Bacterial small subunit ribosomal RNA", at positions 524 to 776 of the family's 1533-position model. The record is from RNAcentral.